GGCUGGUCUGCAGGUAGUGAGUUAUCUCAAUUGAUUGUUCACACUCAGUUAUAGAUCCAGCUCUUUGUUCUACUCAUUCCCCCUUCUCACUACUGCACUGGACUAGUCUUAU
Y RNA from Callithrix jacchus (white-tufted-ear marmoset), 112 nucleotides. It matches the Rfam family "Y RNA". From Rfam's summary of the family: Y RNAs are components of the Ro ribonucleoprotein particle (Ro RNP), in association with Ro60 and La proteins. The Y RNAs and Ro60 and La proteins are well conserved, but the function of the Ro RNP is not known. Lineage: Eukaryota; Metazoa; Chordata; Mammalia; Primates; Cebidae. The record is from Ensembl.